AGCGAACGCUGGCGGCGUGCUUAACACAUGCAAGUCGCGCGGGGAAAGAGACCCUUCGGGUCUUGAGUAGAGCGGCGGACGGGUGCGUAAGACGCGGGUGACCUAUCCGAGAGGCGGGGAUAACCCAGCGAAAGCGGGGCUAAUACCGGAUGAGCCCCAGGCGGAAACGCGCGGGGGCAAAGGAUGCUACUCGAUAGUGGCAUGUCCUCACGGAGGGGCCCACGGCCUAUCAGCUAG
RNAcentral lists this ribosomal RNA (237 nucleotides) under uncultured bacterium. RNAcentral describes it as "partial 16S ribosomal RNA". It matches the Rfam family "Bacterial small subunit ribosomal RNA", at positions 30 to 248 of the family's 1533-position model. The record is from RNAcentral.